RNAcentral lists this long non-coding RNA (1763 nucleotides) under Venturia canescens. Its description in RNAcentral is "uncharacterized LOC122415529". Lineage: Eukaryota; Metazoa; Arthropoda; Insecta; Hymenoptera; Ichneumonidae. The record is from RNAcentral.
UAAUCGCAAAGUUUUUUCCUCACGCGCAUUUUGGAAAACCAUCGAUUAAUUCGAAGUGAUGAAGUAAAUAAAUGCUAAUCUCUAAAUUUUCGUCCGAACUGUGUGAAAAAUUUGGAAUGUGCAGGCGUCUCAUGCAAACAAGUACAGAGGACAGAAUAUGGAAUCGUGCAGCGUGCUUAACCGAAUGAAUAUUUAUAUGUUUUUUUACUACUCUCGGAGCUGUACUCGGUCGAGCCUCAUCGCGCAAUGGGAAACGCUUUGUUUGGAUGCGAUUCGCCCCCUCCUUUCGGUUUCAUUCUCAUUUUGUGGACUUUGACGCAUACGAAGACGAUUUCAUGAUGGUCGCGCUGCGCUACAUCUGCCGUUGACGUUCGCGCGCAGCGGAGAGAGCAGAAACUCGAGGGAAUGGCGCGUGUGAACAGUUUGCACCUCUGACUUGAGCGUCUCGGGCUCUCAGGAAAGGAGCAGUCCAGGAGCCAAAGCAAAAGAAGCACUCGAGAAUCAUUGUUGGAGGAAAAUGGAGACGGAUAACCGAAAUCGAACGAUCGAGAUGCCAAUGCCCGCGUGAGUCGAUGUACUACUGCAGCGAGUGCGAAUUAUCGGAGUCGAAGAAACUUCGAAUUGUAGGCGCCCACUCUCUCGGGAGCAAUGGAAAAAAAUUCAGUCGAAAGCUUCGUUCCUCGUCUCCAACGAGCUGGCGGCCUCGGACUCCAACGAUUACAGCCACAAUAAACAAAACUAUGAAUUAUGGGAGGCGUGCGUUCAAUGGCGAGGUUGAAUAAAAGUGCCGGGUGCGAUGACAUCUAACAGCUGUUUAUUUUCUGCCUCUUCUCUGUUUUGGCCGGAAGUGGCGCCAAAGCGGACACCACUGUGAGCGGCUCAUCGCUCCCUCUCUCUUCGCUUCUCCCUCUCUGCGGUUUCGAUCACGGUCUCUUCGACCAAGAGAUUCUGUUGGACGUUCGAGCCCCUCCGCCUUAUUCGUGUUUCCGGUUCAUCAGAGAAGAGAUAAUAGAGCAUUCUUCCCCAUAAACAGUGGACCCUCGUGAGGUCGAAGGCGAUUCAGCGAUUCAGAGCUUCGGAACGACUCAAAAUCUUCUCAGCCCGCAAGUACUCGAAGAAAAUACGAUCCAAGAAUGAUGGAGUCGCUCCGUGUCCUGGAAUCGUAUUGCAACAAUCGAAUAAAUUCGACGCUACAGAAAAAUUUGAUACGACUUUGGAUCUGUGGGGAUGCGAUUCGGAGUACCUCGGACAGAUAAACAUAGAAGAAUCCGAUUCCGCACGUGUGUGUUUUCGUCGUACGACGUGUGGAUCUCUCUUGUCCAUGCGCGGAGAGCAGACGCACACAAAUCGUAAAUUGUGGUGUCUAUUGUUCGAAGAUGUUUGAUCUCGCGCUUGGACAGUGUGGGCGAUGAGGAAUGUUCCAGUUGCGUGUGCUACAGCUCGUAGGCAUAUUACAGUCGUUUCGCUGCUCACUCGUAACUCGUACGUCACUCGAUACCUAUGACUUAUACAAAGGUUAUGAUAUACCCAGCACGAUACUUUAUAUAUAAACAUAUAUUUUAUACCAUUCGAUCAUUUAUUUUCCACAAUUCAUGCAUCUGCGUAUAAGCUCGAGCAAAAGUUGCAUGCUAAGCUGCCAUGAAACUUCUUUGUCAUAUCUCUGAGGGACAAAAGUCCUUUUUUUCUCAUUUCAAUAUUAAAAAACAGCUCUGAAGAGACAAGCGUAAAGAGAAACUUGUGAACGGUGCAUCGGAAAAGGAAAC